RNAcentral lists this ribosomal RNA (1234 nucleotides) under metagenome. Its description in RNAcentral is "bacterial LSU rRNA". It matches the Rfam family "Bacterial large subunit ribosomal RNA", at positions 1564 to 2808 of the family's 2925-position model. The record is from RNAcentral.
UGAGUACGAGAUGCUACGGCAUCGAAGCAGUCUAUGUCAUACUUCCAAGAAAAGCUUGCACUGUCAGAAACAGAUAAUGCCUGUACCAUAACCGACACAGGUGGGUAGGUAGAGUAUACUAAGGGGCGCGAGAUAACUCUCUCUAAGGAACUCGGCAAAAUGACUCCGUAACUUCGGGAGAAGGAGUGCCUUAUUUUUAAGGUUGCAAUAACAAGAUCCAAGCAACUGUUUACCAAAAACACAGGUCUCCGCUAAGUCGUAAGACGAUGUAUGGGGGCUGACGCCUGCCCAGUGCCAGAAGGUUAAAGAAGUCGGUUAGCAUUCGCGAAGCUGGUAACUGAAGCCCUGGUGAACGGCGGCCGUAACAAUAACGGUCCUAAGGUAGCGAAAUCCCUUGUCGGGUAAGUUCCGACCCGCACGAAAGGCGUAAUGAUUUGGAUACUGUCUCGGAGAGGGGCUCGGUGAAAUAGACUUGUCUGUGAAGAUGCGGACUACCUGCACCUGGACAGAAAGACCCUAUGAAGCUUUACUGUAACUUGAAAUUGAAAUUGGACUUUAUUUGCGCAGUAUAGGUGGGAGGCGUUGAAAAUAUUCUUGCGGGAAUAUUGGAGCCAUCAGUGAGAUACCACUCUUGUAAUGUUAGAUUUCUAACUUUAUAUCAUUAUCUGGUUAAAGAACAGUUUCAGGCGGGCAGUUUGACUGGGGCGGUCGCCUCCCAAAUGGUAACGGAGGCGCACAAAGGUUUCCUCUGAACGGGUAGAAAUCGUAUCUAGAGUGUAAAGGCAUAAGGAAGCUUGACUGUGAGACCUACAAGUCGAGCAGGGACGAAAGUCGGUCUUAGUGAUCUGACGGUGCUGAGUGGAAAGGCCGUCACUCAACGGAUAAAAGUUACUCUAGGAUAACAGGCUGAUCUCCCCCAAGAGUUCACAUCGACGGGGAGGUUUGGCACCUCGAUGUCGGCUCAUCGCAUCCUGGGGCGGUAGUACGUCCCAAGGGUUGGGCUGUUCGCCCAUGAAAGCGGUACGCGAGCUGGGUUCAGAACGUCGUGAGACAGUUCGGUCCAUAUCCGGUGUAGGCGUUAGAAUAUUGAGAGGAGCCUUCUUUAGUACGAGAGGACCGAGAAGGACAUACCUCUGGUGUACCAGUUAUCGUGCCAACGGUAAACGCUGGGUAGCUAUGUAUGGAGUGGAUAACCGCUGAAAGCAUCUAAGUGGGAAGCCCACCUCAAGAUAAG